Long non-coding RNA from Herpailurus yagouaroundi (jaguarundi), 344 nucleotides. RefSeq lists it as uncharacterized. The record is from RefSeq and is a predicted model, not a curated record. Lineage: Eukaryota; Metazoa; Chordata; Mammalia; Carnivora; Felidae. The transcript is spliced from 3 exons.
AUACCUAUGGACCACCUACUUACCUGCCAAUUUUUACUCCAGACACGGGGGAUUCAGGAGGAAACAGAACAAAGGUCCUGUCCUCAGGAAGCUUAUAUCACUCUGGUGGGGCAGACCAACAACAAAGAAAUACACCAUGUCAAAAUAUGUCAGGUGGUGGGGGCCUGGCAUUAUCCCAGCCACACACACCAGAGGAGGUUGAAGACAGAAGAGGUGAAGAGAAUCAUGGCCACAGGUGUCCUACUGUGUGAACUGGAGACUUAGUGAUCAUCAGGUGGCUCUUGGAGUAGCAAAAAAGGCUGUCCUCCACCUAGCAGCCAGUGCAAGCUUUUAAAAAUGCGAAU